UUGGAUGGUUGGCCUCUUGGUUACAAGCAUGUACAUUAUGGCUCUCUCCUUGCCUGGAACUGGAUAUGAGAAAUGCUUGAAUUAAGAUCUGUGAAUUAUCUUAUUUUCUUGUCAGAAGGAUGCAGAUUGCCCAUACUUCAUAGCAGAGCAACAGGAGGGACUUAGGGACAAAAAGCUCAAAGGCAAGGAAGACUGAGGAAGCUAAGUUACUGGCCAUAUGUUUAAUAAAUAUAAGCUUAAUGGCAGUGAAUGUAUUAAUGUCAGCGAAGACAAGUCUAUGAAGUUAAACAGGCACAGAGAGGCUAAGAGUCUUGCCAAAGGCCACAGAGGAAGGAAGAGACUAAAUCUGGAACAAACUUUCUAUUCUCCAUUUCCAGAAGAAACCACUAAACCAUGCUUCCUCUUGUCAUGGAAGCUUAAAAUAUUUGGACUGUCUGUGGAUCCAGGGAGGAAUUUCAGAAGAGCCAGGAUUAGUCAAUCAAAUUAAACUCAAUAUCACCCAAAUAAAGUUGGUCAGAUCAAACUACGUUUAAAUAAGAAUUAAAAUGCCAUUUGUCCAUCACCUAAUGGCUCAAUUUGCUCCUGCCUUGGGUGUGCACACCCUGCUCUGGAACAGACCAGAGCUCUAAAGAAGUGACUGGAAGUUGUGAAUGUCAUUGUUAUGAAGCUUCAAAUUUGCUCUCCUCUUUAGGACACAGACAUGGCAUUAGAGAAGGGCAGAAAACUGCACUUGGCUGUGCAUAGAGAACACUAGAGACCUCUUGUGCAAGAGAGGGGACUAGGUUGCGUAGUGUAAUGAGAGAAGCAUGGGUUUUGAGACCGCUACAAUGUCUGUGUCUUCUUGGCCAACAUUUCAGUAAGAGUAGUAAGCAUAUCUCCACAAUAGGGUUAAGAGAACCAGUGUCUUCUGAAAAACACAUGAAAUCAUCGUAACCCUGCUAAGUCUGUGCUUUGCAAAAAUUAAAACUAAAACUAAUUUUCAAAAAAAAAAAAAAA
This 996-nucleotide long non-coding RNA is filed under the name Homo sapiens (human). RNAcentral's name for it is "long independently transcribed non-coding RNA 382 (LINC00382)". Lineage: Eukaryota; Metazoa; Chordata; Mammalia; Primates; Hominidae. The record is from RNAcentral.